UUUUAUGGCGGGUGGCGUAUGGGGAAGCCGUAAGGCUUGCCGGACCCUUUGCCCGGUCGACCAACCCUGUACGUCAUCCGCCGCCCGU
This 88-nucleotide non-coding RNA is filed under the name Methylomicrobium album BG8. Lineage: Bacteria; Pseudomonadati; Pseudomonadota; Gammaproteobacteria; Methylococcales; Methylococcaceae. The record is from RNAcentral.